GAUGAACGCUAGCUACAGGCUUAAAACAUGCAAGUCGAGGGGUAGCACAUGAGUAGCAAUACGAUGGUGGCGACCGGCGCACGGGUGAGUAUCGCGUAUGCCACCUACCUUCAACGGGAGGAAAGCCUUCCGAAAGGGAGAUUAGUACCGCAUAAAACAGGGGCCCCGCAUGGGGAUAUUUGUUAAAGAUUUAUCGGUGGGAGAUGGGCAUGCGUUCCAUUCGCUAGGUGGCGGGGUAAUGGCCCACCAAGGCAUCGAUGGAUAGGGGAACUGAGAGGUUUAUCCCCCACACUGGAACUGAGACACGGGCCAGACUCCUACGGGAGGCAGCAGUGAGGAAUAGUGGUCAAUGGGCGGGAGCCUGAACCAGCCAAGUCGCGUGAAGGAAGACGGUUCUAUGGAUUGUAAACUUCUUUUGCACUGGGGUAAAACGGGGGACGUGUCCCCCCUUGCAAGUACAGUGCGAAUAAGCAUCGGCUAACUCCGUGCCAGCAGCCGCUGUAA
RNAcentral lists this ribosomal RNA (504 nucleotides) under uncultured bacterium. RNAcentral describes it as "partial 16S ribosomal RNA". It matches the Rfam family "Bacterial small subunit ribosomal RNA", at positions 28 to 523 of the family's 1533-position model. The record is from RNAcentral.